This 468-nucleotide ribosomal RNA is filed under the name uncultured bacterium. RNAcentral describes it as "SSU rRNA". It matches the Rfam family "Bacterial small subunit ribosomal RNA", at positions 26 to 518 of the family's 1533-position model. The record is from RNAcentral.
AGAUUGAACGCUGGCGUCAUGCCUUACACAUGCAAGUCGAACGGUAACAGGUUAAGCUGACGAGUGGCGAACGGGUGAGUAAUAUAUCGGAACGUGCCCAGUAGUGGGGGAUAGCCCGGCGAAAGCCGGAUUAAUACCGCAUACGACCUACGGGUGAAAGGGGGGGAUCGCAAGACCUCUCGCUAUUGGAGCGGCCGAUAUCAGAUUAGCUAGUUGGUGGGGUAAAAGCUCACCAAGGCGACGAUCUGUAGCUGGUCUGAGAGGACGACCAGCCACACUGGGACUGAGACACGGCCCAGACUCCUACGGGAGGCAGCAGUGGGGAAUUUUCCGCAAUGGGCGAAAGCCUGACGGAGCAAGACCGCGUGGGGGAAGAAGGCUCUUGGGUUGUAAACCCCUUUUCUCUGGGAAGAACGCAAUGACGGUACCAGAGGAAUCAGCAUCGGCUAACUCCGUGCCAGCAGCCGC